GUUAGAGGGGCCGUGUCUCAGCUCUGCCACCCACGUCUCAGCCCACUCGCACUCGAUUGGACAGAAUGUUAAAGAAAACUCAGAACAUAAAUCUGGGUGGGGAGAGCUAAGAACUCUACAUUAUGUUCUGUCUCGUUUCUUUUUUUAUAGCUCAUCAUAACCUAUGCCUAUUUUUCCCUUUGAAUCUUUCAUAGAUUCCAGUCAUAGGCCAGAUUCAAGACUCAACCCCAAUUAUUGGGUAUAAGAGACACAAUAGGUAUUCAAUAAACAUCGGUUGAAUUGAAUUAAAUGGGAUUGAAAUUGGCCCCACUAAGACAUAGAUCUCUUAGGGGUUGUUUGGCUGCAAAAACCAGAAAUCUAGAUGACUAGCUAAAGCUAAACAAGAAAAUUUACUGUAAGGAUACAUGGAUUUCUUUAUGAGAAAAUGCAAAAGGAAGUGGAAACUUACCAGGAAUGAAAGAGAAUGCUGUUUAUAAUUGGAGAAAUGUGGACAUGAGAGGGGCACAGAGGAAGACUACCUGAAGACACACAGAGAGAAGGUGACCACGUGGUUGGAGUGGAGCAUCUACAAACCAACACACAUACCAAGGAUUGCUGGCAAGUAUCACCAGAAGCUAGAAGAGGCAAGAAAGGAUUCUCCCCAAAGCUGUCAGCAAAAACACAGCACUGAUGGUACCUUGAUUUCAGACUUUUAGCCCCGAAACUGUGAGAGAGUAAAUUUCUGUUGUUUUAGGUGACCUGUUUUUUGGAAUUUGUUAUGUCAACUGUAGGAAAUGGAUAUUGUACAACGAUUGGGGCAUGACUUUGCAAUGGUUUACCUGCUCUCAGAUGAAAAUUUUUUUUUUUUGUUUUUUUUUUAGAUGGAGUCUUGCUCUGUUGCCCAGGCCAGAGUGUAGUGGUGCCAUCUUGGCUCACUGCAACCUCUACCUCCCGGGUUCAAGCGAUUCUCCUGCCUCAGCCUCCCGAGUAGCUGGGACCACAGCACACCACCAGGCCUGGUGAAUUUUUGUAUUUUUAGUAGAGAAAGGGUUUCACCAUGUUGGCCAGGCUGGUCUCAAACUCCUGACCUCAAGUGAUCUGCUCGCCUCAGCUUCCCAAAGUGCUGGGAUUACAGGUGUGGGCCACCACACCCUGUCUCAGAUGAAAGGUUAAUAUAAUUAAGGAACAUCUUUUUUGUUUUUUUUUUCAGAAAUUGGAAUGGGGGAGUAGCUGAACAGAAAAGUCCAUCUUGUUCAAUUCCCACAAGAACAUUUCUUUGCAAUAUUAUUGGCAGGAAUAUGCAGUAAAGUUCUAAUAACUAUUUACUCCUUUCUUUGAAACUCUAUUCAGUUAUAAUGUGUCCUGUAAAAAGUAUGACACUGAUUUCAUAGUACCAAUUUUAGCCUAAUACAUAUUUAAAUGAUUCCCAAUGUAUAAAGAUAUUUUAGUAAUAAGAAAUUAUUUAAGGAUCCCAAACAUCACAAUAAACAUAAAGCCUAGUUUUAGGUUGCAAAAAAGUAUCAAACUUUAUAAGUUUUAGUGCAAAUUAAGAGAAAUUACAUUCUAACUACACUAAUAACUGAAAACUUCAUAUUAGGCAAAUAAUGUCUUCAACUACUCAAAUUAUAGGAGCCCACUUCAAGAACCUCAGUAAGAAGAAAUUUUGAAUGGUUUAAAAAUAAUAAAUGCCAUGACAUUUUAAAUGGAAAUUUGGCAUAUUUUUGAGAUAAAUAUGAUUGGAUACAUGUGUGUGCCAUUCUUUUAUCUCUUCUUACUUUUACUGUAUCUCUACUUUAAUGAUGACAAUAAUAUGGCUACAGACAUGAAAUGGUUUAUCUUUCUUCUUUUCUUUCACUCUUUCAUUUAAAGCAUUUAUAUUAUUUUUUAUUGAUGUCAAUGUUAACAUUUUGGCAUCCUUCCCAAGUAUAUUGCAAGAAAUACAUCAAUAAAAACUUAAAUUUAAAAAAUAUGUAGUCUGGGGCCAGAUAAUAAUGGCAUAUUUCUUUAAAAUUAGGUAUAAAGGAGUACAGACGAGGUCAAAAUUCUAAAAUUGGAAUCUUGCCAUUAACAAACAGAACUGACAUUCUGAUACUUCUAUCUGCUGUGGACGUGACACAGAGACUUACCAAAGCCAAGAUACAUUUAUUCAAGGAGGAGCAACUUGCCUUUAUACUUAUACCUUUGUUAAUAACUUGUUUAAAGCAAUCCUUUGUUUUCUUUGCAUAUUUGAAUUGAUUUGCUAAAAGUUAUCUACUGUUAAAUAAGCAAAACUCAAAAUUUUCAAGCAUAUGGGACUUGUUCAGAAUCAGUUUUUAGUUUCUUUUUCAGGAUUUUGUACAAGUUGCAAGAGAAGAGACACAAAAUUAUCUUAUUAAUUCUAUUGCAAUAUGGAGAUACAUUUUAAACAAAUGGAAAUAAUCAAUAUUAGUAUUAUCUGUAUAUUUGUGUGUGUGUGUGUUGAUCUGACUAUAUUUUUCUUCAAAGGGAAAUCACAAAGGCCAAGUGUGUUUAUCAGGUAACUCACCUUAAGAAAACUUGUACUAUGUGAAAAGUCAAUUUCUUUAAAAACUGUCACCAACUCAACCCUGGUUUGUAAGUAGAAAAAACUAUCAAUUAUUUUUUAACAAUAGUAAUACUCCCAAGGUAUAUACUUCUGCCACAAAAAAUUAAGAAUAGUUUACUUAGCACGUUUUGUCAUUGUGGAAAUCAUUGAGAAAAAUCACAGUGGAAAGUUAUUUGAAAAGGCAUAACUGUCAUUAGAAAGAAAUUAAGAAUAAAGAAGGCAGGCCUGGCGUGGUGGCUCAUGCCUGUAAUCCCAGCACUUUGGGAGGCUGAGGUGGGUGGAUCUCCUGAGGUCGGGAGUUCAAGACCAGCCUGACUAACAUGGAGAAACCCCAUCUCUACUAAAAAUACAAAAUUAGCCGGGGUGGUGGCACAUGCCUGUAAUCCCAGCUACUCGGGAGGCUGAGGCAGGAGAAUUGCUUGAACCCAGGAGAUGGAGGUUGCGGUGAGCUGAGAUGGUGCCAUUGCACUCCAGCCUGGGCAAAAAGAGUGAAACUCCACCUAAAAAAAAAAUAAAAAUAAUAAAAAAAUAAAGCAGUAAAAACAAAAUGUUUGCAUGUGUCAUUAUCUUUGUAUUGGUCGUCUAUUUUGUAAACUUUCAUCAUUACUUUAAGCAUUUCAGGCCACUUCUUCAGUCAUUAUUGUUGAUUAUCAUUUAGUCCUCCAAUUCCAUCAGAGUGUGCUAAGGUAGUAAAAUGAAAUUAGGCACAAUGCAUGGCAGAAGGUAUAGCAAUUUGAAAUGUCUUCCAAAAUCAAUUAGAUAUUACUUUGGGUUAGCAGUGGAGGUGGGAACAUAGUUACAGGUAAUUGAGAAUUGGCUGUGAAUAUGGGCUCAUACAUUGUGUUUUUGAACAUGUUGAUAUAAUUCUGUGAAAUGAGAGAAAUGGCCUCAAAUCACCUGGCUGCUUCUGCUUUAUUUUAUGGUUAGAUAUUCAACUGCCAUCACAGACUACAAUAGAGGAAAGCUGCUAUUAUUUAUCAAAGACUAGACCUGCUAGCUGAAGUGCAGUUCACCAUUCACUUGGGUGGUGGUAUGGCUCACCUCCAAAACACUGCUCAUGAGUUGACCUUAUUAUUUUUAUCUGCAUGUCUUGACCUAUAGCGGGCUUAAAAUGUCAUUAUCAACCUAAUGGAAAUACAGAUUUUUCAUUUUUUUCCCUUUCUCUGCCUUCUCUUUUUUCUUUUCUUUUCUUUUUU
This 3738-nucleotide long non-coding RNA is filed under the name Homo sapiens (human). RNAcentral describes it as "HSALNT0110855". The record is from RNAcentral. Lineage: Eukaryota; Metazoa; Chordata; Mammalia; Primates; Hominidae.